AGUCGUAACAAGAUUUCCGUAGACCCUAGAAACCGUCCAGCGACACUUUCAUUCGCCCGGUCAGGACUCCAGACUGACGAUAAAAGGCUCAAUUGCUUUCUCACCAGACAGAGGUCCUGAAUCAAAGACUACUUUCGCCACUGAUUUACCAGGAUUGCUGUCAUAAUGGGCUUACAAGAGCUCUCUAAAGAUGCACGGGGGUUUAACGUUGGAUACGUGUUAAUGAUCCUUCCGCAGGUUCACAAGGCUUCGCCAUCACUGGAGGCUCAACACGGGCCGGUGGACAGACUGCAGGGUCCCCAUGCCCCUUUAUGACGACCAAGUUAAAUAAGGCCUCUACCACAUAGCAAGUGCGCCGCGGUAGAGGAAAACGUACAACUGUUAACAAUGGAUAUCUUGGUUCUC
Molecule: unclassified non-coding RNA, 405 nt
Filed under: fungal sp.
Lineage: Eukaryota; Fungi
Description: partial internal transcribed spacer region
Source: RNAcentral